This 301-nucleotide long non-coding RNA is filed under the name Mytilus galloprovincialis (Mediterranean mussel). Lineage: Eukaryota; Metazoa; Mollusca; Bivalvia; Mytilida; Mytilidae. The record is from RNAcentral.
UAUACAUGUAGCAAUAUUAUUUCUUUUAAAUCAUUGCACUGUAGUAAUAAAUAUAUAGAAUUUGUAACAAGUCAUACAUUCAUUUUGAAAAUUUUGUCACAUAAUAUAUCUGACGGUUUUAGAGGCAAUCAUCACACUCAUAUGGAAAGCUAACGAUGUCGUCAAUAUGCACACAAGAAAAGUCAACACCAGAGCAUUUUGCAUGAUAAAAGGAGGAGCAAAUCUCGCAACAUAUAUAAACAUCGUCUGUUUCAAGUAAACACUUGGAACAAAGCCUGGAAGUAGUCGAUUUCUCCGAAUU